ACAGUGUCACGGCCGCCUGAGCUAAGGCCCAUCAUAAAAAAGGCGCUGAGUUAAGCGCCUUUUUU
RNAcentral lists this small RNA (65 nucleotides) under Pluralibacter gergoviae. RNAcentral's name for it is "Enterobacter gergoviae Salmonella enterica sRNA STnc40". It matches the Rfam family "Salmonella enterica sRNA STnc40". Lineage: Bacteria; Pseudomonadati; Pseudomonadota; Gammaproteobacteria; Enterobacterales; Enterobacteriaceae. The record is from Rfam by way of RNAcentral.